Molecule: ribosomal RNA, 254 nt
Filed under: uncultured bacterium
Lineage: Bacteria
Description: partial 16S ribosomal RNA
Rfam family: Bacterial small subunit ribosomal RNA
Source: RNAcentral
UACAGAGGGUGCGAGCGUUGUCCGGAAUCACUGGGCGUAAAGGGCGCGUAGGUGGCGACCCAAGUCGAUGGUGAAAGCUCGCCGCUCAACGGCGAGUCGGCCACCGAUACUGGGUUGCUGGAGCACUGUAGAGGCAGAUGGAAUUCCGGGUGUAGCGGUGGAAUGCGUAGAGAUCCGGAGGAACACCAGAGGUGAAGACGGGUUGCUGGGCCGACACUGACGCUGACAGCGCGAAAGCCAGGGGAGCAAACGGG